CAACCUGCCGUCUACUCUUGGACAGCCUUCUGAAAGGAAGAUUAAUACAAGAUGGCAUCAUGAGUCCGCAUGUUCACAUGAUUAAAGGUAUUCCGGUAGACGAUGGGGAUGCGUUCCAUUAGAUAGUAGGUGGGGUAACGGCCCACCUAGUCUUCGAUGGAUAGGGGUUCUGAGAGGAAGGUCCCCCACAUUGGAACUGAGACACGGUCCAAACUCCUACGGGAGGCAGCAGUGAGGAAUAUUGGUCAAUGGGCGAGAGCCUGAACCAGCCAAGUAGCGUGAAGGAUGACUGCCCUAUGGGUUGUAAACUUCUUUUAUAAAGGAAUAAAGUCGGGUAUGUAUACCCGUUUGCAUGUACUUUGUGAAUAAGGAUCGGCUAACUCCGUGCCAGCAGCCGCGGUAAUACGGAGGAUCCGAGCGUUAUCCUGAUUUAUUGGGUUUAAAGGGAGCGUAGAUGGAUGUUUAAGUCAGUUGUGAAGGUUUGCGGCUCAACCGUAAAAUUGCAGUUGAUACUGGAUAUCUUGAGUGCAGUUGAGGCAGGCGGAAUUCGUGGUGUAGCGGUGAAAUGCUUAGAUAUCACGAAGAACUCCGAUUG
RNAcentral lists this ribosomal RNA (595 nucleotides) under uncultured Bacteroidota bacterium. RNAcentral describes it as "bacterial SSU rRNA". It matches the Rfam family "Bacterial small subunit ribosomal RNA", at positions 122 to 715 of the family's 1533-position model. Lineage: Bacteria; Pseudomonadati; Bacteroidota. The record is from RNAcentral.